Ctenopharyngodon idella (grass carp) is the source of this 1565-nucleotide long non-coding RNA. RefSeq lists it as uncharacterized. The transcript is spliced from 3 exons. Lineage: Eukaryota; Metazoa; Chordata; Actinopteri; Cypriniformes; Xenocyprididae. The record is from RefSeq and is a predicted model, not a curated record.
AUAGCUUAAUGGGAACGUUAGAAAACAUUCUUAGAGCAUAUUUUUGUUAGCUGGAUAGGCAUGUUCAUAUAUAAAUAUAUAUACACAUGCACACACACAAAUACAAAGCAGUUAAUUAAAUAAAAUAAUACUGAAAUUAUUAUUCAGUCAAAUAAAUCAUUCAACAUUUUCAGUAACGUUCUAUAUUCUUACUUAAUACAAUUUGAUAUAAGCCAAUGAGGUUUAAGUUGUUGUCAUCAUGUCAUUUCCCAUAAUGCUUGGGGAAGAGCAAGUUUAACCGCAUUUUUAACUGGAGCGCACCCUUGAAAUCUGAUUAUAAAUAAAAUUAGAUUAAGAUGUAAAAUGUGGCAGUGUUCGUAUUUGUUCUUAUUCAUAUAUCCUACAGCCAUAUAUCUGUCAGUCAGGUCGACGUUGUUCAUUGGAACAGUUGUGAAGUAAAGGUAAAUGAUGACAGAACUGUGAGUCUUCUUGGGUGUGACUGUAUGAGGACAUAUGUGUAAUCGGUGUGUCUUUGGUUUUGUGCUAAGUAGAUUAUAAUUUGAAGUCAAAAAAUGGCAGUUAUGAAUCUGCAAACCACAAGAUGUUCUUGCAAAAGAUUUCAGGGUUUGGCUUAGAGGGCUUCUUCUCACACAUUUGACACAUGAAUGGUUAUUUGAAUUAAUUUUUUUAGAGAUGAUAGAUAAUAUAAAGCAACUUACAUUUAUAUUGAAAUUUAUAGUCACUGUGUGUGUGUGUGUGUGUGUGUGUUUAAUAUCAGUUACAUUGUCACUGAAAUGCUGUAAACCACUUUGGAUAGUAGCAUCUGACAAAUGACUGCUUGCUUUGUACUUUCUUACUAAAUAUAACUGAGUAUGCACAUGAUAUGUAGCAUUGCCAUGACUUAUCUAACUCAAAUAUAGCCAAAUUUGUAAAUCAGGAGUAAUAACAUUCUUUCAAAAAAAAAAAAAAAAAAAAAAAAAAAAAGUCAGGGGUGUAACUAUAUUCAAACCGAACCGAAAAAAACACGAUACACCACCCACGGUAUGUACCGCGAUACUCUCAUGGCGUAUCUAACACGCCCCGCCCCCUGCUGCCGCGCCCCGCCCCGCGGAUCUACACGACGAAUAGAGCGUUGUAGCCUAACCACCAUUAACCGCCAAUAGUCACAAUAAGGUCCGCGUUUUGUCACUUUCGAUAAUAAACAAACUGUCAUAUUUCAAAUUCUGUCCAUUUUAUCACAAAAUCCAAACAAAAAAAAAAAAGCCGUUUUGACGCUCUUUGAUGUGGCGUGACAGACUGUACAGGCGCCUGAUUUCAAGCGGCAGCGCUGAGCGCGAGAGAACGCGAUCAUCUCUUCCUCUUUACAGAAUAAACUUGAACGAACAUCUGAAGUUUUCUCCCCUUGCUGUACGGAAAUGACUGAACCGAACCAAGACUUCAAAACCGAGGAGAACUCAAGCGUCCAUAGAACAGAAUGGCAUUGGAGGGAUUAUGCCGGAUGAAGAAAAGGAACGGGUGGUCUGCAGUAAAGGAUUUUUGGGGUGAGGUUAAUGAGGCUGACGCAAGGAUGGUGGCAGUGGCUGCAG